AUGCCCAAAUCAUGAUGUCUCCUAAAACGGCUUGCUACAAAUGCCAUCAAUUGUGACAUUGGGCAGCACUCUGCCCUUGGUACCCAAUAGCCUCAAGGUCAAGCACCAAGCCUUCCCUCACGAUGGUUCAACAGGACUGAAACAGCCCGCUCCAGCCAGCCUGCCUGUCACAGAAAACCAUCAUGGGGCUUGAGCCAAGGGUGCAGCUGGAUGUGGCAGAAACUUUGGAUCACUGGAAAAAACCCUGAGACGGAUUGUCAGAAGAUUCUCUGACCAUUCCUGAGGAAAUCUGGUCAACAAGCUAUGAAAUGCAGUGCUAGUUCAACAAGGAUGCAUAAAACUACAUCCAACCGCAGAAAAUACUCCUCACCACUCCUCACUCCUCACUGCUAUAAGAACUCUGAGGCUUGAGACUAGCAAGAGGGGGAGGCUCAAUGCCCCUCACCUUCCCAGCUCAGCAGGAAGUAGCCAGAGAAACAGUGAUGCCCCUACACCCAAAGAUUUGCCCUUCCAUCUCUUGACGGGGGAAUGUUAGGUAGUUAGAAUAGGAAAAAGGAGUCCAAAAUGGCAGUGGCUAAAAGACUAAGAAAGGGAAAAGU
Long non-coding RNA from Capra hircus (goat), 599 nucleotides. RefSeq lists it as uncharacterized. The record is from RefSeq and is a predicted model, not a curated record. NCBI's taxonomy places the organism in Eukaryota, Metazoa, Chordata, Mammalia, Artiodactyla, Bovidae. The transcript has 3 exons.